GCCCCGAUGGUGAAAUUGGUAAACACAGCAGACUUAAAAUCUGCCGACCGUAAGGUCUUGCCGGUUCGAUUCCGGCUCGGGGCACCA
RNAcentral lists this transfer RNA (87 nucleotides) under Pseudomonas sp. Its description in RNAcentral is "tRNA-Leu". It matches the Rfam family "tRNA". From Rfam's summary of the family: Transfer RNA (tRNA) molecules are approximately 80 nucleotides in length. The record is from RNAcentral. RNAcentral also lists the same sequence under 4 other names. Lineage: Bacteria; Pseudomonadati; Pseudomonadota; Gammaproteobacteria; Pseudomonadales; Pseudomonadaceae.